AAACUGCCGUAUUUACCGCUGCGGACGGCGGUAGUUGCAGUAAACCGCCUAUAUCCAAUAGAGCUGAUUGGAAGAAAGCAGAGAAUGGUUGUCCUGGUUUCUUUGGACACCUAAUUAGUAGUUAAAAAUAAAAGAAACAACAUAAUAAGAUUAAAAUAGGGCGAAAUACUAUGGAGUGUCGAGGUUGUACCCCGAAGUUUUCAGCAGACCCAAUAAGAUGCCGAGAUUCCUGGAGCAGCUAGGGUGACAUGAAUAGGACGCACUACACGCAAAAUAAGCGCCUAGACGUCGAGUUGUGGAUACCAAACGUUAACCGUUACACCAAAAUUCAUAUCAAUGUAAAUUUUGCUUUGAAUUGCCCACAUAAAAUAAUUGUUAAAAUUAGAUUUAACGUGAAUAGUGGUGCGAAUUAUGCAAGUAGCCGUUAAAUGGCCCAGCUGCGGGUGGUGUUGGCAACAGAGUGACAGCGGAAAGCGACUACUACUCCAUGUAGACUAUCCCUUGGUUUAUUUAUUUAUUAAACGACGAGGAGGAUCUCAACUUCGACUGUUUUAUUUUGUAUUGUGCAAUGAGAAAAUCCCAACAAGGAUGUUACAUUAUUCGGAAGAUGAUGUAUUGAAGGCGACUGAUGAAGUGUCUAAAGGGAUUCCUAUAGCUGCACAAUGAAAAUAUUUUUAAUGUUACUUCAAACUAUAUAUGUUAUUAAUUAUCUAUAAGUGUAUUAAAAGUGUUAGAUAACUGUACAAACAAUUUGUGUUAUGUAUUUAUUGAUGUAUAUCGUUUAUAUUUUAUUUUAGACGCCUGUCAAACACACUGGAGCAAAGUUUCAACGUUUAGUAGUGGUUGACACGUAUGUCAAGCACUCGUAUAAAUGAAUAUAUUUUAAGCCUUUAUUUCGAACAUUUGGUAACGACGGAGAACGAUGGUUUGGAUGACUCUGUAUUGUGCAAUGAGAAAAUCCCAACAAGGACAUUGUUACAUUAUUUGGAAGAUGAUGUAUUGAAGGCGACUGAUGAAGUGUCUAAAGGGAUUCCUAUAGCUGCACAAUGAAAAUAUUUUUAAUGCUACUUCAAACUAUAUAUGUUAUGAUCGUAUGGCAUUUAAAUUUCAUUUUUCUAUAAGUAUCUUGCAAAGAUUUAUUAUUAAUUUUAAUAAAAACA
Molecule: long non-coding RNA, 1160 nt
Organism: Hyposmocoma kahamanoa
Lineage: Eukaryota; Metazoa; Arthropoda; Insecta; Lepidoptera; Cosmopterigidae
Exons: 3
Source: RefSeq, a predicted model, not a curated record